GCUCCCAUGAUGCACUCUGCCCCCUUGUGUCCACAUGAGUGUAAUGCUGUGUCUUUAGGCUGUCUGGAUGUCUGGUCUCAGAGAGGGGCGGGGCUGCUCUGGCCUCAGCUCUGAGCUCCGCCCCCUCCCACCUCAGAGAGUUCGACCUGAGCUACAACCAUCCAGGACCCUCCGCCGAGCUCCUGACCGCUCUACAGGACCAGCGCCCCCUGCUGUCUGUCAGGUUGGAUCCUGCUGGAGAGCGCUGGAUGGUUCCAGGUCUGAGGAAGUACUCCUGUGACGUUUCUCUGGACCCAAACUCAGCUCACAGACGUCUGCUUCUGUCUGAGGACCAUCGGACUGUGACUCGAGCGAAGGAGGAGCAGGAGUAUCCAGAUCAUGACGACAGGUUCACAAACUACUUUCAGGUCCUGAGCUGCACUGGCCUGAGGGGGCGCUGUUACUGGGAGGUGGACUGGAGCGGGGAUGUUUUUAUAGCAGUGAGUUACAGAAAGAUCAGACGAAGAGGAGAGGGACGGGAG
Long non-coding RNA from Boleophthalmus pectinirostris (great blue-spotted mudskipper), 521 nucleotides. RefSeq lists it as uncharacterized. The transcript is spliced from 3 exons. Lineage: Eukaryota; Metazoa; Chordata; Actinopteri; Gobiiformes; Gobiidae. The record is from RefSeq and is a predicted model, not a curated record.